UACGUAGGUGGCAAGCGUUGUCCGGAUUUACUGGGCGUAAAGAGCGCGCAGGCGGUCGGAUAAGUCGAAUGUGAAAGCCCCCGGCUCAACUGGGGAGGGUCAUUCGAUACUGUUCGACUCGAAGGCAGGAGAGGGAAGUGGAAUUCCCGGUGUAGUGGUGAAAUGCGUAGAUAUCGGGAGGAACACCAGUGGCGAAGGCGACUUCCUGGCCUGUUCUUGACGCUGAGGCGCGAAAAGCUAGGGGAGCAAACGGG
RNAcentral lists this ribosomal RNA (254 nucleotides) under uncultured bacterium. RNAcentral's name for it is "partial 16S ribosomal RNA". It matches the Rfam family "Bacterial small subunit ribosomal RNA", at positions 524 to 776 of the family's 1533-position model. The record is from RNAcentral.